This is a non-coding RNA of Lonchura striata (white-rumped munia), 550 nucleotides long. The record is from RefSeq and is a predicted model, not a curated record. NCBI's taxonomy places the organism in Eukaryota, Metazoa, Chordata, Aves, Passeriformes, Estrildidae.
UUAGGAGGAGCAGCAAUUCUCAGAGAAAAUAAUGUUUAAGAUGAUGUACAUAGUUGGCAAACAUAAAGAUUAAGAAUGCUCGGGCAAGACCAUUCUGAAGGGCAGCGUGGCACAGGGUGCUGGUUUCUCUGGCUAUGAAGAACAGAAUGUCAGGGUUUUUUUCCCAGAAAACAAAACAAAACCAAACCAACCACAGGUGGUUGCAAAGGAGCAAGACUUCACUAGGAAAACAGCCUCAGGAAAAAUGACCGAGUUUUUCCCUUGGGAUAUGGAGUGAGGGUUGAAGUAAAAGAGCAAGCUUUAGUCCUUCAAGUUCUUUGCCAAAAGGCCGUUCUGUUUGAUGAAAUUGAGGGGUGGAAAACAAGAAAAUUUAUACACAGCAACAGGUUAGAACUCCAGCAAAAAUACAGAAGGAUUUCAUCCUUGUCCACUCUAACGAAUAACUGCUAGGGGAAAAAAGGUGUGUGUUUAUAUAUAUACUUCCGUAAUUUACAUGUUAAAUAUGUAUGUAUGUACCAAUAAAUACAUAUUCAUGUUGUUUAGGAAAGAU